This 253-nucleotide ribosomal RNA is filed under the name uncultured bacterium. Its description in RNAcentral is "partial 16S ribosomal RNA". It matches the Rfam family "Bacterial small subunit ribosomal RNA", at positions 524 to 776 of the family's 1533-position model. The record is from RNAcentral.
UACGUAGGGUCCGAGCGUUGUCCGGAAUUAUUGGGCGUAAAGAGCUCGUAGGCGGUUUGUCGCGUCUGCCGUGAAAGUCCGGGGCUCAACUCCGGAUCUGCGGUGGGUACGGGCAGACUAGAGUGAUGUAGGGGAGACUGGAAUUCCAGGUGUAGCGGUGAAAUGCGUAGAUAUCUGGAGGAACACCGGUGGCGAAGGCGGCAUCCUGGACCGGCAUUGACGCUGAGGCGCGAAGGCCAGGGGAGCAAACGGG